This 177-nucleotide ribosomal RNA is filed under the name Triticum aestivum (bread wheat). Its description in RNAcentral is "partial small subunit ribosomal RNA". The record is from RNAcentral. Lineage: Eukaryota; Viridiplantae; Streptophyta; Magnoliopsida; Poales; Poaceae.
AUGGGCUUCAUCCAGAGCACCUUCUCGCUGCUGGUCGGCGCCGCGGGCGGCAUCUACAUCGCCCAGAACUACGACGUUCCCAACAUCAAGAACUACAUGCAGGGCCUGAUGGGAAAGGCCAAGGAGCUGGACCAUGCCUACAAGAAGCCCGAGGACGGCAGCAAGAGCAAGGCUUAG